Molecule: ribozyme, 93 nt
Filed under: Aedes aegypti (yellow fever mosquito)
Lineage: Eukaryota; Metazoa; Arthropoda; Insecta; Diptera; Culicidae
Description: drz-agam-1 ribozyme
Rfam family: drz-agam-1 ribozyme
Source: Rfam by way of RNAcentral
UGUACAGCAACUCCUAUCCCUACCUCCUCGUGGUACUGGCCGGGGUACGAGUAACCUUAGGGAAGAACUUUGGUCGUAUGCUGACAGGAAAGG